AAUGGCCAGAGUCAUAGCCAGCAGGGUGACAUUGAAUAUUGGUGUAUAUUUAAAAUAUGUAGAGGGCCACCUAAACUCGUUUGAGAUCGUUACUUAAUUGAGAUAAUAUCUACCAAGUGAGGCAGGAUGGAUGGUUGAAGAAAAUUUAUCAGUUUCUGCAUAUGAAUUUGCCUGACUCAAAAACUGUGAUAGAAAAUUGUGCCUGGACUUUGACAGCAUAUACAGCCAAUGAAACAUAUAGUUAUAUAUUAGCACAGAAUUAUACUGUCUUUGGUACAACAUGGAUCAAUGUAGCCAACCUCAAUUGGAUUGGGACUAAGCCUUCAUUAAUAGUGAAUGUUCUUGUUAAACGCGGCAUCAUUUACAUUGUUAACGAUGACGAAAAUGAAUAUGGCAGGGAGCAAACUGUCAUAAAAGAUUAUUAAGCAGCAUCAUGGGUUAUGGAAAAAUCUGGUCGUGAGACAUGUUUUAAACUAUUAUUCUCUAUGAAAAUUUGUCUGUGUCCCUGAUACUUGUGGCCUCUUUUUAUAAUAAAAUAUAUAAAAAAAAUGCUUGUUUUACAUUGCUGCUCUUUUGGUGUGUCUUUUAUU
This 590-nucleotide unclassified non-coding RNA is filed under the name Hevea brasiliensis (rubber tree). Lineage: Eukaryota; Viridiplantae; Streptophyta; Magnoliopsida; Malpighiales; Euphorbiaceae. The record is from RNAcentral.